GUUUUAAUAAUUUAAAUAAAAUAUUGAUUUUGUAAAUCAAAAAUAAGAUCCCUUUUAAAACU
RNAcentral lists this transfer RNA (62 nucleotides) under Podagrica fuscicornis. Its description in RNAcentral is "tRNA-Thr". Lineage: Eukaryota; Metazoa; Arthropoda; Insecta; Coleoptera; Chrysomelidae. The record is from RNAcentral.